This is a long non-coding RNA of Larimichthys crocea (large yellow croaker), 610 nucleotides long. RefSeq lists it as uncharacterized. The transcript has 3 exons. Lineage: Eukaryota; Metazoa; Chordata; Actinopteri; Sciaenidae. The record is from RefSeq and is a predicted model, not a curated record.
AGGGAAUCUGACAUUUUGUGCAGAGUUGGUGGUGGCAAGAGUCAAAAAACAGGAACAGAGACGAGACUGGGCUGGAAUAUCCUUAGGCACAGGGGGAUCAAGACAGAAAACAGCUGCUCAAGGUUACCCUGAAGGUCCCCCACGUUCAGGUCCCUCUCUUUCCCCUGGCGAACGUUCCUCCUGAAUAAAGGAGAAGACAGAGAGAAGCAAAGAGAGACAGGAGUAAAAGUCCUGAGUCCUGGAGGGAUGGGUGUUUCAAAUGACACCUCCAGAUGUGCUGAUGAAGAGCGGGGAGAGGAAGAAAGGGGAGAUGAGGGGCGAAGAGUAGCAAACAUGAGGUUAUGUUUUAGCAAAGAGAACGAAUUAACGCAAGGAAUGGGGAGGAAAGAGAGGAGAAAAGAUGAGUAGAGGAGGGAGUGAGUGGAGAAGGGAGAGAGCGAAAGAGGAAAAGCAGAAGAAAAAAGAGAAAAUUAGGCGACAAGACGGGAAAGGAUAAUGAUAAGAGAUGUUAAGAAUAAAAUUCUUCUUUUAUUCGAAUUCAAGCCCCCGGGUAUCAUUAUUGAGUGUUCAGUGUGUUUUGAGUGUCUAUGUGUGUGUGUGUGUGUGUGUG